Molecule: ribosomal RNA, 253 nt
Filed under: uncultured bacterium
Lineage: Bacteria
Description: partial 16S ribosomal RNA
Rfam family: Bacterial small subunit ribosomal RNA
Source: RNAcentral
UACAGAGGGUGCGAGCGUUAAUCGGAAUUACUGGGCGUAAAGCGUGCGUAGACGGUUAUUUAAGUCAGAUGUGAAAGCCCCGGGCUCAACCUGGGAAUUGCAUUUGAGACUGAAUAGCUAGGGUGCGGUAGAGGGAAGCGGAAUUUCCGGUGUAGCGGUGAAAUGCGUAGAUAUCAGGAGGAACACCAAUUGCGAAGGCAGCUCGCUGGGACGUUACUGACGCUGAGACGCGAAAGCGUGGGGAGCAAACAGG